This 1197-nucleotide long non-coding RNA is filed under the name Felis catus (domestic cat). Its description in RNAcentral is "lncRNA (ENSFCAG00000052058.1)". Lineage: Eukaryota; Metazoa; Chordata; Mammalia; Carnivora; Felidae. The record is from RNAcentral.
UUUAAAAGAGAGUGACAUACCAGGCACCUGGGUGGCUCAGUUGGUUGGGUGUCCAACUCUUGAUUUGGGCUCAGGUCAUGAACUCACAGUUUGUGAGUUCGAGCCCCACGUGGGGCUCCGUGCUGGCAGUGUGGAGCCUGCUUAGGAUUCUCUCUCUCCCUCUCUCUCUCUCUCUGUCCCCUGCUUUCUUGCUCUCUCUCUCUCUCUCUCUCAAUAAAUAAACUUAAAAAAAAGAGAGAGGUUUACAUACAUCUCAGGGAGACAGAGAUAUAGCAUUUACAAUGUCAACUUUUCUAAAGGAAAUGCUGAAGUGUGGGAGAGGGUCUGGUUUUCCUGUCAUGCACCAGAGACUCAAUUUCUCUAGUUCUAGGUUUGUAUUCACCCUUACAGGGCACACUCAUACAUAUAUACACACUCACACACCGCCAUAGACACAUUAUAGGCACACACGCUCUUAUACACAUAUACACAUGCAUCUGCAUACACACAUAACAUUCUCAUAAACACUCACACACAUGCAUACAUGGACACAGACAUGUAUGGUGGUGCUCGUGGCCUUGUCCACAUCCCACCAAUGGAACCGGGUUAUAUACUUAGUUCUCCAUCUUGCCUUUUUCACUUGACAUUGCACCACAGAGAUUGUCUCUUCCUGGUAGAGGAAUUAACGAUAAUUAAUGGUAAUGCAGACCCCUAACUUUAAAAAAAAAAUUUUUUUUUCAACGUUUAUUUUAUUUUUGGGACAGAGAGAGACAGAGCAUGAACGGGGGAGGGGCAGAGAGAGACGGAGACACAGAAUCGGAAACAGGCUCCAGGCUCCGAGCCAUCAGCCCAGAGCCUGAUGCGGGGCUCGAACUCACGGACCGCGAGAUUGUGACCUGGCUGAAGUCGGACGCUUAACCGACUAUGCCACCCAGGCGCCCCGUGCAGACCCCUAACUUUUAGGUGAGCCAAUAUUCCCCUAGGCGCUUCAUCUACAUGCAUGCUUUUAACCCCCAUACCCUAAGGGUUGCAUACUACUAUACCCCCAUUUUACAGAUGGGGCAACAGAGGCUCAGAGAGGCCCCGAGGGCCACACCUGGUGCUGUUUCGUGGUCUUUAAGCAGUGACGUUCUCCACCACGUGCAUGCACAAGACUUUCUAUGUUCUGGAGAGACUGAAGAGGGGAGUUCCCAGAGCAGUGCAUGGACCAUGCUCUGA